UACGGAGGAUCCAAGCGUUAUCCGGAAUCAUUGGGUUUAAAGGGUCCGUAGGUGGACAAUUAAGUCAGAGGUGAAAUCCUGCAGCUCAACUGUAGAAUUGCCUUUGAUACUGGUUGUCUUGAAUCAAUGUGAAGUGGUUAGAAUAUGUAGUGUAGCGGUGAAAUGCAUAGAUAUUACAUAGAAUACCAAUUGCGAAGGCAGAUCACUAACAUUGCAUUGACACUGAUGGACGAAAGCGUAGGUAGCGAACAGG
This 253-nucleotide unclassified non-coding RNA is filed under the name uncultured Flavobacteriaceae bacterium. Its description in RNAcentral is "contains 16S-23S intergenic spacer region". It matches the Rfam family "Bacterial small subunit ribosomal RNA", at positions 524 to 776 of the family's 1533-position model. Lineage: Bacteria; Pseudomonadati; Bacteroidota; Flavobacteriia; Flavobacteriales; Flavobacteriaceae. The record is from RNAcentral.